This is a long non-coding RNA of Gigantopelta aegis, 1177 nucleotides long. RefSeq lists it as uncharacterized. The record is from RefSeq and is a predicted model, not a curated record. The transcript has 2 exons. Lineage: Eukaryota; Metazoa; Mollusca; Gastropoda; Neomphalida; Peltospiridae.
CUUAGAAAGGAAACCCACUGCAUGUUUCCAUUAGUAGGAAGGGAUGUUUAUAUGCACCAUCCCACAGACAGGAUAGCACAUACCACGGCCUUUGAUACACCAGUCCUGAUGCACUGGGUGGAAUGACAAAAAGGCGAAUCCGGCUACCGAUGGGUAUUGAUCCUAGACAGACCGUUUUACCACUGAGCUACGUCCCGCCCCUUUAUAUAUAUAUUCUUAGAGGAGUAUGUACCUUUAAGUAUGGUAUUUAGUAUGUAUUUCAUUAAUGUUUAUUUUCAGGCUGUAACAACUACAGGUUGAACAACAUAUCACUAUAAUUAACAUUUUAUCACCUUUUUCUAGUAUUGCCCUGUACCUGUGAUAUGUUCGUGUAUGCUGGUCAACCACGCGUGACCACAUCAGUGCAGUCAGUGUGAGCUCUUUUGGUAGCCAUAGCUACAAUACAAACACCCAAGCUAUCUUUAAACUUUGACCCUUGUCUCUUUCUCUCCCAUUGGAUAAUUAACACUCACCUGUAACUGCAUUUUUUCUUUGGACUGACCAGACAGGACAGAAUUAUUUAGUAUUUGAAGAAACAAGUUCAGAUAAGAGAGAAAUAGUAGAAGUUUAAUUUAAAGGUUUCCCCAGUUGUUAUGGAAUAUAUCAACACAAUGCCUACGUGUAAUUCAUAUGGUAUGUUAAGCUACAGGUUAAGUCUAAUAUUUAUAUAUUUGUAAUUUUAAAUAUACUCUUGUAAUUUAUAUCCUUUCUUUCAUAAACUCAUUAAUGAUAAAGCUUUAUUAUGUCAAAUAAUAAUUAUAAUUACAAUCAUUUAAAUAACCCUAUUUACUAUAAAUUAUCUCCCCUUUGCUAUAAUCAAUGAUUAUAAUUGGUGGUCACGAAAUGAUUAUUAUAUAUAUAUAUACAUGUAUGUUAACAUGAUUAAUAAUCGUGAUGACAGUAUUUAGGAUAAAGUGGAUGAUGAUUCAUAAUCAUCAGAAUGAUAAUUAAUGAUUAAUGACGGUUUUCUAUGAUUUGCAAUGUGUUUCAUUAAUAUAUGCCUGAAUGUUUGUUUUACCUCGAUAGGGAUAUAUUUGUAUUGUUUUUACCAUAUUGUUAACGUUUGUGUUUUUAAUCCUUGCAGGGUGUGUCUUGUGUAUUAUGUUUACAUGAAUAAAAGAUGAUGCCCUAACCCGUA